AGAACGAACGCUGGCGGCAGGCUUAACACAUGCAAGUCGAGCGCCCCGCAAGGGGAGCGGCAGACGGGUGAGUAACGCGUGGGAACGUACCCCCCGGUUCGGAAUAACUCAGGGAAACUUGAGCUAAUACCGGAUACGGCUGGAAGGCGAAAGAUUCAUCGCCGGGGGAUCGGCCCGCGUCCGAUUAGCUAGUUGGUGUGGUAACGGCGCACCAAGGCGACGAUCGGUAGCUGGUCUGAGAGGAUGAUCAGCCACAUUGGGACUGAGACACGGCCCAAACUCCUACGGGAGGCAGCAGUGGGGAAUAUUGGACAAUGGGCGCAAGCCUGAUCCAGCCAUGCCGCGUGAGUGAUGAAGGCCUUAGGGUUGUAAAGCUCUUUCACCCACGACGAUAAUGACGGUAGUGGGAGAAGAAGCCCCGGCUAACUUCGCGCCAGCAGCCGC
RNAcentral lists this ribosomal RNA (444 nucleotides) under uncultured bacterium. Its description in RNAcentral is "SSU rRNA". It matches the Rfam family "Bacterial small subunit ribosomal RNA", at positions 26 to 518 of the family's 1533-position model. The record is from RNAcentral.